UGAGCCAUGAGGAAGAGCGGGCCUGAGCCCGAGGGGCAGCCGGGCCCGUUCCCACCUGGGGUCGAGCAGCUUCUCCUGCGGGGCACGAAGCCAGGCCACUUCUCCCCUGCGAGUGCGAGCAGAGCGGGCGCUGGGCGUUAAGGUGUCGUGAGCUUCGGGCUCAGUGUGGGAGUGGCACCCACGCCACAGGUGUUCAAGAGUCAGAGUUGUGCCGUUUGAUGCAAUGAGCUGGGAACCCUUCCGUCCUCGUUCAGGAUCCAGAAGGGAAUCGCGGUGCCUGGGCUGGGCACAGACAGGGAUGUCUUGCAAACGUGAAGACCUUGGCAGUAAACGGAUGGUUUCAGGACAUGGAGCAAUAAAAGAUGUUCGUUCUU
Herpailurus yagouaroundi (jaguarundi) is the source of this 374-nucleotide long non-coding RNA. RefSeq lists it as uncharacterized. The record is from RefSeq and is a predicted model, not a curated record. The transcript has 2 exons. Lineage: Eukaryota; Metazoa; Chordata; Mammalia; Carnivora; Felidae.